GGUGAACGCUGGCGGCGUGCCUAAUACAUGCAAGUCGAGCGAACAGACGAGGAGCUUGCUCCUCUGACGUUAGCGGCGGACGGGUGAGUAACACGUGGAUAACCUACCUAUAAGACUGGGAUAACUUCGGGAAACCGGAGCUAAUACCGGAUAAUAUAUUGAACCACAUGGUUCAAUAGUGAAAGACGGUUUUGCUGUCACUUAUAGAUGGAUCCGCGCCGCAUUAGCUAGUUGGUAAGGUAACGGCUUACCAAGGCGACGAUGCGUAGCCGACCUGAGAGGGUGAUCGGCCACACUGGAACUGAGACACGGUCCAGACUCCUACGGGAGGCAGCAGUAGGGAAUCUUCCGCAAUGGGCGAAAGCCUGACGGAGCAACGCCGCGUGAGUGAUGAAGGUCUUCGGAUCGUAAAACUCUGUUAUUAGGGAAGAACAAAUGUGUAAGUAACUAUGCACGUCUUGACGGUACCUAAUCAGAAAGCCACGGCUAACUACGUG
Molecule: ribosomal RNA, 497 nt
Filed under: uncultured bacterium
Lineage: Bacteria
Description: partial 16S ribosomal RNA
Rfam family: Bacterial small subunit ribosomal RNA
Source: RNAcentral